GCCUGCCCGGUGAUAAAAUAUUUAACGGCCGCGGUAUCCUAACCGUGCAAAGGUAGCGCAAUCACUUGUUCUUUAAAUAAGGACUGGUAUGAAUGGCGACAUGAGGAUCACCUUGUCUCUCACAGUAAGUCAAUGAAACUGAUCUCCCAGUCCAAAAGCUGGAAUACGCCCACAAGACGAGAAGACCCUGUGGAGCUUCAAAUUGCACCUCAUUACACAGCUUGAGCCUGCACUUUUUGGUUGGGGCGACCUUGGAGCAAAAUAAAACCUCCAAAAUAUUAACCUUUAGGCUACCACGCCGCGACACCACAAAAACUACUUGACCCAAUACAAUUGAUCAAUGAACCAAGUUACCCCAGGGAUAACAGCGCAAUCUUCUUUUAGAGUCCCUAUCGACAAGAAGGUUUACGACCUCGAUGUUGGAUCCGGAUACCCAAAUGGUGCAGCCGCUAUUAAAGGUUCGUUUGUUCAACGAUUAAUAAUCCCACGUGAUCUGAGUUCAGACCGG
This 508-nucleotide ribosomal RNA is filed under the name Amphisbaena pretrei (Rio Grande worm lizard). Its description in RNAcentral is "partial 16S ribosomal RNA". It matches the Rfam family "Bacterial large subunit ribosomal RNA", at positions 1857 to 2619 of the family's 2925-position model. The record is from RNAcentral. Lineage: Eukaryota; Metazoa; Chordata; Lepidosauria; Squamata; Amphisbaenidae.